RNAcentral lists this transfer RNA (64 nucleotides) under Raivuna sinica. Its description in RNAcentral is "tRNA-Tyr". The record is from RNAcentral. Lineage: Eukaryota; Metazoa; Arthropoda; Insecta; Hemiptera; Dictyopharidae.
GAUAGGAUGUCUGAAUUUAAGGUAGUAAAUUGUAAGUUUAUUUAUGGUUAUUAACCUCUUAUCA